This 207-nucleotide ribosomal RNA is filed under the name uncultured bacterium. Its description in RNAcentral is "partial 16S ribosomal RNA". It matches the Rfam family "Bacterial small subunit ribosomal RNA", at positions 568 to 774 of the family's 1533-position model. The record is from RNAcentral.
CAUGUAGGCGGUUUUUUAAGUCUGGAGUGAAAAUGCGGGGCUCAACCCCGUAUGGCUCUGGAUACUGGAAGACUUGAGUGCAGGAGAGGAAAGGGGAAUUCCCAGUGUAGCGGUGAAAUGCGUAGAUAUUGGGAGGAACACCAGUGGCGAAGGCGCCUUUCUUGGACUGUGUCUGACGCUGAGAUGCGAAAGCCAGGGUAGCGAACG